AGAUAUUUAAAGAUAUAAUUAAAACUAAGAUACAAAAUUAAAUAAUAAGCAUAAAUACGUCAAAUAAAUACAUUAAAUCCAUUUGAUGAUCUAAGCUCAAGAGCUCAAGUUCGUGAAAUGAAUAGAUAUUUAAAGAUUUAAUUAAAACUAAAAUACAUAAUUAAGUGUUGAUUUGCUUUGCUUCAUUUCAAAUAAACCUUGUCUACUUUAUGAUCUAAGCUCAGGAACUCAAGAAUGCCUAAAGAAAGGAAGUUUCACCUGAGAAAAUUGAGUGGCUAGAGAAAGUUUAGAAAACUGAAUGAAUAAAGUCAGCACUCUCUGCUCAAAAAAAACCUCCAGCUGCUGCCUUACCUGAAGACUGCCCAAAAAAAGCAUCCAGAUACUGCCUUACGAGAAUAACGGCCGUUAAUAGUUGGUAAUGGCCGUUACUGUUAUAUAAUGGCUGUGACGCAUCAAAUUCAAAAAUGCUGUUAUUUCAAGGGUGUAAUGGUAACAGUGGGCUAAAAUACCUGUAAAUGAUAGCCAUUUUUUAAAACCAUGGUCUCAACUAUAAGUUUGAACUUUCAGUUUGAUGGUUCUUUAAUUAUUAUUGUUUAACAUCUGAGAUUUGAUUAAUUAUUAGUGUGCAUUGGUUUUGAUCCUAGGUAUACAAAAUCAAUUCGAAUGUUUUAUAGUAAUGCAUGCAUUACACACAAAGAGAUGAAUAGACAGAAUAUACUAACCUAUAAAUACUAUCUUAAAAUAAGCUUUUUUUUGAAAGUGGAAUUUUGUUUUCUGCACUUUAAGUGAAUGUAUGGAAGGUAGGUCCAUACUCCUUAACCAUGGGAUAAUGGUGCUAAAAUGAGCCAAAAGGUCACAUCACAUUGUGGACUUCAAUACUUUGAAGCAUAAUUGAAGCCGUAGAAGGCAAGAUGGAGGGAACAAAAACAUGGCAUUCAAUGUCCCAUUCCCAAUCCAUAGUUUCCUUGUAGAAAAAAAGGAAAUUUUCUUUUGCAAAUGAUGGAUUUUUUUUUUUAAAAUCUGGCAAGCGUGGGGAAUAUUCUGUCAUUUUAUGUUAUCAGUUUGCCGGAUUUUCAUUUUACAUAUCCUUAUUGUUAGAAAAUAGAUUCUUUAUGAACAUUUACUUUCUUUUUUUCAUUUUUAGUUGCUCAUGCGAACAUUUUUCUUUUAAAUCUUUAGUACUUUGCUCAUUUGCUUUUAUGUGCUACUUUGGAUUUACACUUCAUGGGUAUAUUUUUGAGCUUAACUUCCCUAUUUCAACUUUUUGAGUUUAAUUGAUUUAAUGGAUUCCAUUCCACUGUUUCUUUUGCAAUGAGUGC
RNAcentral lists this unclassified non-coding RNA (1319 nucleotides) under Hevea brasiliensis (rubber tree). Lineage: Eukaryota; Viridiplantae; Streptophyta; Magnoliopsida; Malpighiales; Euphorbiaceae. The record is from RNAcentral.